RNAcentral lists this ribosomal RNA (497 nucleotides) under uncultured bacterium. RNAcentral's name for it is "partial 16S ribosomal RNA". It matches the Rfam family "Bacterial small subunit ribosomal RNA", at positions 28 to 507 of the family's 1533-position model. The record is from RNAcentral.
GAUGAACGCUGGCGGCGUGCCUAAUACAUGCAAGUCGAGCGAACAGACGAGGAGCUUGCUCCUCUGACGUUAGCGGCGGACGGGUGAGUAACACGUGGAUAACCUACCUAUAAGACUGGGAUAACUUCGGGAAACCGGAGCUAAUACCGGAUAACAUGUUGAACCGCAUGGUUCAACAGUGAAAGACGGUCUUGCUGUCACUUAUAGAUGGAUCCGCGCCGCAUUAGCUAGUUGGUAAGGUAACGGCUUACCAAGGCAACGAUGCGUAGCCGACCUGAGAGGGUGAUCGGUCACACUGGAACUGAGACACGGUCCAGACUCCUACGGGAGGCAGCAGUAGGGAAUAUUCGGCAAUGGGCGAAAGCCUGACGGAGCAACGCCGCGUGAGUGAAGAAGGUCUUCGGAUCGUAAAACUCUGUUAUUAGGGAAGAACAAAUGUGUAAGUAACUAUGCACGUCUUGACGGUACCUAAUCAGAAAGCCACGGCUAACUACGUG